Molecule: non-coding RNA, 170 nt
Filed under: uncultured Lachnoclostridium sp.
Lineage: Bacteria; Bacillati; Bacillota; Clostridia; Lachnospirales; Lachnospiraceae
Description: Lysine riboswitch
Rfam family: Lysine riboswitch aptamer
About the family: Riboswitches are metabolite binding domains within certain messenger RNAs that serve as precision sensors for their corresponding targets. Allosteric rearrangement of mRNA structure is mediated by ligand binding, and this results in modulation of gene expression.
Source: RNAcentral
AAAAGUAGAGGUUGCGCAGCUUAAGAGUAUGCCGCCGGAUGCCGCAGGGGCGUGGGAAGACGGAGGAAAGGAUGCUGCGCCGAAGGAUUUUUCGCCGCCUGCGGGAGGAGAUCCUGGGCACACGGUUAAGAGCCGUGUGACUGUCAUCCCGGCGGAUGGAGUGCUACUGA